UUGACGGAUUUCUUCGGAUUGAAGCCUUGGUGACUGAGCGGCGGACGGGUGAGUAACGCGUGGGUAACCUGCCUCAUACAGGGGGAUAACAGUUGGAAACGGCUGCUAAUACCGCAUAAGCGCACAGUACCGCAUGGUACCGUGUGAAAAACUCCGGUGGUAUGAGAUGGACCCGCGUCUGAUUAGCUAGUUGGUGGGGUAACGGCCUACCAAGGCGACGAUCAGUAGCCGACCUGAGAGGGUGACCGGCCACAUUGGGACUGAGACACGGCCCAAACUCC
This 281-nucleotide ribosomal RNA is filed under the name uncultured Lachnospiraceae bacterium. Its description in RNAcentral is "partial 16S ribosomal RNA". It matches the Rfam family "Bacterial small subunit ribosomal RNA", at positions 59 to 339 of the family's 1533-position model. Lineage: Bacteria; Bacillati; Bacillota; Clostridia; Lachnospirales; Lachnospiraceae. The record is from RNAcentral.